UUUUUCAUUUAUCAAAGUUUUUCUCUGCUUUCUUAGAAAUCCUUUGUUUGAUCUGUCAAAAAUGUGUGAGGCAGUUUGGUGAUUCCCUGGUGAAGUAUUUAGCUAAUUACUUAAAUGUUGAGCGAAAAUAGGAUAUCGAUGUUGUUUGCACGCCUUGGAAUCAUUGUGGACAAAUUAAGUGUGCAGUUGCGAAGGGGCGAUUAUGAUUUUGCCUUAAUUCAUGUUGAUGUAAGUAACCUGCCUAAAUUGGAGAUCUGCAAAAUGAAUUGAAAAGAAGUAAUUGAGCAACAAACCUAACAUUGCAAUAAUUUAAACUCCUUUUUUAUGUCUUGAUUUUUAAGUGACAGAUGUUUCAAAUCCCCAAGUAUGAGUAUACUUCCACCCAAAAGAGUUGUGAGACCCCUCUGAAAGCCUGCCAUAUGCGUGGAAAAG
Molecule: long non-coding RNA, 432 nt
Organism: Parasteatoda tepidariorum (common house spider)
Lineage: Eukaryota; Metazoa; Arthropoda; Arachnida; Araneae; Theridiidae
Source: RefSeq, a predicted model, not a curated record